This 372-nucleotide unclassified non-coding RNA is filed under the name Hevea brasiliensis (rubber tree). The record is from RNAcentral. Lineage: Eukaryota; Viridiplantae; Streptophyta; Magnoliopsida; Malpighiales; Euphorbiaceae.
GCAGAAUUUUAUUAUGUUUGUGCACUUCAAUUCCGGUUAUCUCCGGUACAAUUCAUUGCAAUUAUGAUAACGCACUCCCUUCUGAUUUGGAAACCCGAUACAUCAAACUCAAAUCCAAACCUAAAUCUUCAAAUGCCCACUUCGAUUUUGACUCUCUCAGAGGCAAAAUAGGUCAUGGCUCUCCUAACAAAACUGACUCAGUUGGGAAAACAAAUUCAAUGAAGGAUAAAGUAGAUAUUUUCUUGGAUCCUGAAGAGAAGGAAUUCCCAAGUAAAGGGUAUGUUUCUUUUCCCUAGAAUUCUUCAACAGGAGAACAGAUUUUCUCGCCUAUGGAUGAAAACCCAAGUGGAGAAAAGGGUUUGGAGGAGAAAU